CGGUGGUCUUCUCUUUAUCGCUGCCUCUCUACCUACGCCUCUUCUUGCAAUUCAUUCUCCGUCGACUUUGAAGAAGAUAUUUAUGCUUCAUCAAAUCACAGAUCCGUCAAGGAAGAAGACAACACAGAUGGAUGUUGAAAGCGAUCACAGUGGUUGCUCUAACUUUAGUUCUGACUCAAACAUCAGCGGCAGGCGUCGAACAUGUCUUUACCGAUCACGUCUCAGUUUGAUCCUCUUCUAUUUUCCUCGACGUGUUUGCUGUCGACCUCUCUUUUUUAUCUCCCUACCUCUCUCUUUAAUACCUAAUCAUGCUGGAAUACAGUAAACUAUGAUUUACGACGCCACUACUAUUGAGAAAGCUGAUCUUCUACUGUUUAGCAGGCAAUUGAUCCAAUAACAUGCAAAUGCCUGUACAAAAUGCUUAAUCGAGAUGUAUUUUAUGAAUAAAUGGCACACUUCUACUGGGAAAGAGCAUUUUUAUAUAGUGGACGAUUACGAGAGAUGAUAAACUGAAAAUUUGCUAUUUUUUCAGAAUCUAAUGAUUGUGCUAGAUGAUAAACUGAGGCAAUCAAGUGAGUUUCUUCAUUAUUGAUGUAAUGCAAUGAAUAUAUGGUUCAUUUAUGGUUCAAUAAAAGAAUUUUGAUGCAUUUUAGCGUUGGUUAUAUGAAAAUCGAAUGAGCAGUUAUGGAGCAGAUGUGUGGAUAUACUGUGCAUUGGCAUUGAUGGAAAAAUUUGAAUGGGCUCAAGGUUAUAGAAAACAUUUUUGUUUGCUUUAUAUGGAUUAUAAGAAUGGUCUUGCCCGACACCCAAAAUCUUUACCAUAUUGUUAAUUGCGUUGUCCUUCAUCGGAAUUUUAAGAGCUUUUUUUUGAUAAUGUAAAUUGACAGUAUCAUUGGUUACUUUGAAUCUUUCG
Mercurialis annua (annual mercury) is the source of this 913-nucleotide long non-coding RNA. RefSeq lists it as uncharacterized. The transcript is spliced from 4 exons. The record is from RefSeq and is a predicted model, not a curated record. NCBI's taxonomy places the organism in Eukaryota, Viridiplantae, Streptophyta, Magnoliopsida, Malpighiales, Euphorbiaceae.